CCUUCAUUUUUUCCUCGUUCUUGAAAAAUAGUGUUGCUGUACAUACUGUUCUAAGUUGAUAGCUAUAGGGUCUCAGCGCUUUGAAGAUAUGCCACUGUUUUUUCAUUUCCAUUUUGCUGUUGAGAAGUCAGUUGUCAGUCUAACUUUUUCUUCUGCUAGUAAAAUGUCUUUCCUUCUGGCUGUUUUUAAAAUCCCUUUGUCUUAGAUGUCUUCGCUGUCAGUAAGACAUUUCUAGGUGAGGAUUUCUUCUGAUUUAUUCUUCUUGGGAUUUGUUGGGAUUCUUGUCUCUGAGGUUUGGUAUCUUAUCAAUUAUGGAAAUACUGUCUCUCAUCCACUCUUUCUCUUCUGUCUUUUUGGAAUUCUGAUUUAGAUGUUAGGCCUUUUUUUUUUUUUUGAUGGUGAUCUUAUGUUCCUUGGAACUUUACUUGCUGAUCAUUCUUUGAGGCUUAGGUUUCAAGUUAGAAUCUUCCUUUUAUACAGAUGCCUCAGGGGGCUUUACUACCCAGAACACUUAAAACUACAUUUUUUGGUGUUAGACUUUUCUUUUGGUUAUAGGUGUAGGAUGAAUUCUGACUCCAUACUUGGAUAGGAAGGUAUCAUGGUUAGACAUUCUGAGCAGAGACUUAUUCCUUUUAUUUCCCCUUUCCUGAGGCAAGGCCAAAACACAGAAGGUUUGCUUCCAGUUUCACCCACUGAGGAUGUGGCAUUUCAGAGGGCCUGGCUUGGUAUGGGAAUUUCCAGUCUAAUUCUUGCCUUGCCAGCAGACACUCGGGGGCCAGACCACUGCCAACAUGUACAGGGAGCAAGAUAACUACACUUUUAAAAAGAUCGCUCUGGUUGCCUUAUGGAGGAUGGCUUACAGACGGCUUGAAGAGUGGAGGCAGAGAGGCAAGUUAGGAUGCGAUUAUAAACCUCAGAAGAGAGGUGUUGGCCCCGGGACAGACAGAAUGGUGGUGGAUGGGGAAGAUUAUUGAUUAAGAUGAUCUGUCUCUUCCCAUAGACUGUAAGAUACCCAGCCUCAGGUUCCCAUUUGGCCGGCGCUUGCCUUGUGACAUCUACUGGCAUGGAGUUUCAUUUCACGACAAUGACAUAUUCUCUGGUCAAGUGAACAAGUUUCCAGAUAUCUGCUGUUAUUGUUGACAUUUAAACAUGUUUCUAGGGCCAAGUCUCAGGGUAAAGGCCAUUUGUAGCCGCCAUUUUUGGCAAUGAUAUUUGUCUUAAGAAAGAAGCAUGAUAGCCGGGUGCGGUGGCCACGUCUGUAAUCCCAGCACUUUGGGAGGCCGAGGCGUGACGGAGAUGGUGCGCAAAAUUACUCUGAGCAGAGCAGUGAGAACCAUGCAGAAUCUUUCCUGAGGAGUACAACUUCUACCCUCGCUCAUGGAUUCUGCCUGACGAGUUCCAGCUCUUUGUUGCUCAGGUAGAUGGCACUCCGUCCCCAUGACCCCUGAAUUAUAUUAUGGUUGCAACUGUGUCCUGGGUCCUGUGUGCUGGGAGCUGGGACGGGGGUCCCAGGGAGCUGCGACUAAGGGAGCAUCUUAGCAGUACACAGUAGGUGUUGGCGGCUAUCAAAACAGCUUGCAGAGUUGAACGAGUAGGGUGACAGGUAGGUAAACUGAAGAAACGGGUCUUGACACAAGGAGACAGCCCUAAGGCGGAUAUCAGAGCUGGAUCAUGGAGUCAGGACGCUGGGGAGCCGGGGAGCUGGAGCCGGAGCAGGUGGUUGGGCCCCCAGGUAGGAUGGGGCCGCUGGGGGAAUCCUGGAGCCGUGGCCUCGCCGGCUUCCUGUGGCCUGAGAUGUGGGAGGUCAGGCUCUGUUUAAAGGCCAGGGAGCAGGUCUGACAAACUCAUGGGGAACCUUUUAAGUGUUUUGCUUUAAACUUGUUCCAGAAUCAAUUGUCAAGUGACCCAUUCCACCUCGAAGCACCAGGUUUGAGCAUUUAAUACACUGGAGCCCUCACCACUGAUUGUGAAGUGGAACUCAGAAUUGCCAUUUUUGUUAGCCUUUUAACAGUUUCAUUUAGGAUCCCUUCAAAGCCUUUGUGUACAAGUUUCACAGUCUGUCCCAUAACUCUGGGGUAACUAUACAACCAAUGCCUGUCUAAUUGUGAUAAGGCUAACACCAUUUACUGUUCCUGCUAUGUUCCAGGCUUUGUGCUAGAAGUUUAACAUUUUUUAUUUAUUUUUAUUUUUGUGUUUUUGAGAUGGAGUGUUGUUCUGUUGCCUAGGCCAGAGUGCAGUGGUGUGAUCUUGGCUUACUGCAGCUUCCGCCUCAUGGGUUCAAGCCAUUCUCCUGCCUCCGCCUUCUGAGUAGCUGGGACUACAGGCGGGUGCCACCACACCAGCUUUUUUUUUUAUUUUUUUUUUAUUUUUUGUAUUUUUGGUAGAGAUGGUGUUUCACCGUGUUGGCCAGGCUGGUCUCGAACUCCUGACCUCAUGCGAUCUGCCCGCCUCAGCCUCCCAAAGUGCUGGGAUUAUAGGCAUAAGCCACCACGCCCAGCCCACAUUAUUUCUUUUAAUCUUCACAGCAAUCUUGUGAGGCUGGUUUUAUUAUUAUCCCCAUAUUAUGGAUGAGGAAACUGAGGCUUUGAAAAAUUUAGCAACUUGCUUGAGAAGUAAGGUUUAAAACCUAGAGCUAUUUCCAAGGCAUAUGCUUUCUAUAGUCUAUUUUAUUGCCUCUGUAUUGUUUUGGUUUUAAUAUUGAAUUAUAAAACUUGUGAUAAAAUUAUCAUUUACUAAACACAAAAACAGCUUGAAGUGAUAAUUUUUAAAGGAAGUUUUCUCUGAGAUGGUGGUCACAUGGGUUUAUAUACAUUGCUUAAAAUUCACCGAACUAUUAACUUAAAAUGGGUGCAUUUAAUUGUAUGCAAGCUAUGCUCCAAUAAAGUUAAUUUUAAAAGAUAA
Gorilla gorilla gorilla (western lowland gorilla) is the source of this 2901-nucleotide long non-coding RNA. RefSeq lists it as uncharacterized. The record is from RefSeq and is a predicted model, not a curated record. NCBI's taxonomy places the organism in Eukaryota, Metazoa, Chordata, Mammalia, Primates, Hominidae. The transcript is spliced from 4 exons.